This 2280-nucleotide long non-coding RNA is filed under the name Schizosaccharomyces pombe (fission yeast). The record is from RNAcentral. Lineage: Eukaryota; Fungi; Ascomycota; Schizosaccharomycetes; Schizosaccharomycetales; Schizosaccharomycetaceae.
UGACUUCCAAAAAAAAAAUUAAAAAUUAAAAAAUAAACAGAUCUAUAAAUAUAAACAAUGAACCAAUUUAUUUUAUUUUUAUUUAAUUUUUUACUUUUAUACUUUUCGCUUCAUUCAUUUUUUCAUUUUCUUACUCUACACUUUCUAUUCACAUAUCUUUCUCUCCUCUCUUACUCCUUCAUUCACAAACACCACUUCAAACAAAUGCAACAUUUAUUCAUUAUGCAAACUGGGAUUAUAACCUACUAUCUAGUUAGUUAACAAUAUUUUUUUAAACGACCCAUUCCAUUUUGAUCGAAUGAGCAAAUGCAACAAUAAACAAUUUAAUAAUAAAGGGAACAACGAAGGAAACUGCAACUACUUCCUACGCAUAAAUAGGAAGCUCGUGCAAAGCAAAGCAACAAGGUGCUAUUGCUAUUAAAUAGCAAAUGUAAAAAGUUGAGGUGGCUUUUCGGCGGAAAUCCAAUUUUAUCUGGACUUAAAAUCUAAGUGUCUUCAUAUUGGGACUUGAAAUCCUCUAUCUAGUGUGCUUGAUUCAUAAAGCCAUCAAGAAUUGAAUUCCCUCACUAGUUUCAUAAGCCAACCGGAUUGGUGACUUGUUGAGGAUAAUUCUCACUCUCUGUAGAGUGUGUUGAAGCAUACGAGUUGGGAGCAUGCUCAACGUAUUCAUGUAACUUAGAAGUAGGUCCACGCUCCUUUUCUGAGUCGCUUUGCUUAAUAUCUUCCCGAUCACGCUGGUAAGCACCAGUGUUCCAGGGCUUAAUAUUCGACAAAUAAAGUUGGUUAAUCUCUUCCAAGGUAAGACCUUUGGUUUCCUUGGCGAAUAGGAAAAUAAUAAUAGCGGCACACAAGUUGCAAGCUGCAAACACAUAACCAUACUUGAAACCAAUUGAGUUGCUAAUAAAGGGAGUGAAGAAGGAAAUCAUAAAGUUCCAGAACCAGUUGCUAGCAGUAGCGACGGCAGCACACUUGGAACGAUAACGAAUGGGAUACGAUUCACCAACGAUAACGUAUGCGGCAGGAGCCCAAGUUUGAGCAAAACUGAAAAUGAAAAGACAUGAGAACACAAUCAUAACGGCACCAGCACGAUGAUUCGAAGUACCAUUGGGGCGGGUAAGUGCACGAUCACCUACAGAAGCAUAAAUAAAGAAACAAAUAGAUUGCCAAACACCACCAACGAUGAGGGGACCACGACGACCAAAGUAUUCAAGAACAAAGAUAGCACCAAACGUACAUCCAAAGUUGACAGCAUCAAGAAUCAAAGCUGCGAGGAAGGGGGAGUUCAAGCCAGUACCGCGGAAUACCUGAGUACCAUAGUAGAAGAAGUAAUUGUUACCGGUCAAUUGUUGGAAUGCCAUGACACCCAUUCCCAAAAGUGUUCUGUAACGAAUUUCGUUGCUAAAGAUCUGAGGCCAGGAGCAAGGACCACCAGCCAAUUCUGCCUCAACGUCAGCUUGAAUGGCAUUGUAUUCUUUUUGCAUGAUGGGAUGAUCGGCUGGGAGGCCAGCAUUACGAGUAAGAAUUUUCAUACAUUCUUCAUUUCUUCCUUUAACUGCAAGGUAACGUGGGGAUUCAGGGAGGAAAAGCAUUCCAAAGAACAUGAGAAUACCCCAAAGUAAGUUAAUACCGAUGGGAACACGCCAUUGAGCUUCAGGAUGAGUGGUGUAUUUGUGAGUACCCAUGUUGAUACAGGCGGCAAUAAAAAUACCAAGAGUAAUGAACAAUUGAUAAGUAGUUACAAUGGCACCACGAAUAUGGGGGGGAGAAGAUUCGGAUUGGUAACCAGGAGCAAUGACUGACAAAGCACCAAUGCCAAGACCAGUCCAAAUUUUAGCUACCAUCAUUUGAACCCAAGAUGGAAUUGUGGUGAGUUGAACGAUAACACCGGUAAUGUAAACCAAUGUCCAUCCCAUGAUACACUUACGUUUACCGAAUCGAUCUCCAAGAGGUGAAGAAAGUAAACAUCCAACAGUAGUUCCAGUGUUAACCAUACCAACCAAAAGACCUUGGCGAGCAGAAGAAUACGAAUACGUAUCUGUGACAGGAUCAUACCUGUCUGCGUAUCGAGAUUGAAAGUCCCGCAUAUUAGUGAUACCACCAAUGGAACCCGUGUCAGCACCGAACAUCCAUCCGGCCAUGGACACGAAGACCAACAUGACAAUGGUUAAGAUUUUCGCCAUUGUUCUUAAUAAAUGCUAGUUUUUUUAAAAAGAAAAAGUAAUGACCAAAUGAGAAAAUUCUUUAGUCCUGAUUAAGUAAAAGAAAAAAAAGAAAAUUUCC